This 119-nucleotide ribosomal RNA is filed under the name Pteropus alecto (black flying fox). Lineage: Eukaryota; Metazoa; Chordata; Mammalia; Chiroptera; Pteropodidae. The record is from RNAcentral.
GUCUACGGCCAUGCUACCCUGAACAAGCCCGAUCCCGUCUGAUCUCGGAAGCUAAGCAGGAUCAUGCCAGGGUCGUACUUGGAUGGGAGACCGCCUAGGAAGACCAGGUGCCGUAGGCA